Non-coding RNA from Manis javanica (Malayan pangolin), 6557 nucleotides. NCBI's taxonomy places the organism in Eukaryota, Metazoa, Chordata, Mammalia, Pholidota, Manidae. The record is from RefSeq and is a predicted model, not a curated record.
AGUAUCCCCAGGGUCAGGACUGGGCCUGGCUCCUUGCAGGUGCUCAUUAAACAUUUGGUUGAGUGAAUGAGUGAAUAAAUGAAUGAACAGACAGUUAAUACAGGACACUUCAUGAAGUAACCAGGGCUGGCAGGGCAUGGGAGUUUUCUCAACAAAGUGAGGCCCAGCUUAUUAUUCCAUAAGAAAGGCAGCCGCCAUCACCCUGACUGGAGGAACAUGCAUCUCUCAGACAGGUAAGAGAGCAGCAUCUUGGGAUGGAAAGCGAUUGUUGCUGAAGCAGGGCCUGCUUGCUUUGGAUGUCAACAGAGCACACGGAAGCUGCUGCCAUGCCCCAGCGUGCUCUGCACCUCUGUCCUAGAUGCCCUGAGGGGCCCAGAGGAGAGGGCAGCUCUUCCCAGGGAGGAAGAGAGACUGAGGCAGGGAAUGGAGGACAGCUCAGGAGUGAGGCCUGAGGGGGUGACCCCCACCCAAUCACACCCGCGCUGCUGGACGGCCUCGGGGAGCACCUUCCCAUGGGGAAAAGUAGUCAGGGCUUCCUCCCAUCCUUUCCUCAGCCUCCUCAGUCAUCCUCAACCCCCACCGCCCAGCCUUCUCCCCCGAGCUUGCCCUGUGCCCUGGGGGCUCAUGGUCUGGGACAAGCUGGGUACCCACCCCUACCCAGUCCCCUCUGAGUGCCACCGUGGCAUUGUGCCUUUGUGAGCACCUGCUGACACAGCCCUCCACCUGCCAUGGUGGAGGUGGCUUGUUCUCUAGUGCUCUGGCCCCUCAGGGUGGGUGGAGGGCACCGCUUGGGGGUCCCCCGGUCCCCAUUUCUGCUUCUCUGAGGCCUCUGUCCCUCUUCCUGCACAGAUCCUGCCCCUGUAAGACCCAGCCCCAUGGCUCUGCUCCUCCGGCUCUCCUGCAGAGGAGCCAGGGCUCUGCCAGGCUCAGGCUCCUGUUGGCUGCAACCCCGUGCCUGUGUCCCCUCCCCACUGGUCAUCCUCACUUAGGGACUGCAGAAUUCGCACAGGCGCCUCACCCGGCCGGGGUGACAUUCUCCACGAAUGUCACAAAUGUUCUUUCCCUCUACUUCAACCACCCAGCCCUGGGGUCACCUCUGGAUCUUGUCCUUCCUUAUCCAAAUCCCAUUUCCCAGCACCCAUCCUCUGAUGAUCCCUUCUUGCCCAGUCUCCUUGCUCCCAAGAUUCCUUCAUCUCAUCAAGACUCCUGGUCCAUCAAACCUAUACUUUCUGCCUAUUAAUAAGCCUGCUCACAGUGUCAGCUCAUUACCCACUUAGAUUUCAUGGUCAUAUGCAUUGCCACCCCCUUGCUGUCCCUCUGGGAUCCUCUGGGAAGUGGGUUGUAUUGAAUUUUCCAACCUAUGUGGACCUUCCAUGUGCGAUUCUGCAAUGUGACCUUGUCACUGCCCAUUGAGAGCUGGAGUCAAACUCCCCGCCCUUGAAUCUGGACUGGUUCUUGACCUGACUGUAACUAAAAGGACGCAGUGGAUGUAACACCCAGUGAAUUGCCAAGCUAGCUUGAAAUGACCAUGCAGCUGCCCCCUGGUUCUCUUGGGGUCCUCAUUCUGGGGAAGCCACUUAACCAAUAGGGAGUCCAAUUACCCCAAAGGUCCUUGCUGGAAAAGCCACAUGUAGGCUCUUAAAUCAAUAAUACCAGUGAACCCAGCCUUCCAGCAACCCUGCCAGGUGCCAGACAUGUGAGUGAAGCUGUCUUGGAUGCUCCCGACCAGUGAGUGACCUCCAUCAAUGCCGUGAGGAGCAGAAGAAUUACCCAGCUGAGCCCUGCCUGAAUUCACAACCUGGGAAACAUAACGAAGUUGCUGUCCUUUUAAGCCACUAGGCUUUGAUUUGCCCAGUCUUUGUAACAGGAAUAUUCUGCUUGAAGACCCCAGGCUCGGUUGGACCCAGUCUUCUGCCUCUUGUGUUGUGAUCUCUGAGCAGCUGGAGAAAAUCAGAAGCUGAGGAAGCUGAGAAACAGAUGGUGGGUGACCUGCCCAGACGGAGUAAGUGCGACUAGGUGCAGCCAGGCUGGCCCUGCUCUGUGGCCCCUUGUGAGGGGUAGAAGGUUAACCAGCCUUCUUGGCAAUGGGAUCCCUUGUGCAAUGUGGUCAUGAUUUGGAGAAUCCCCACCUUUUUCAUUUGCUUUCACGUUUCUGUGGCUGGAUCAACCGCUGCUGACUUGGGCACGGCCUCCCAGAAGGCAGCACCUUUUUGUGAGGCCGCCUGGAAGGUGGGGGAGUAUCUCGUUCCCCUCCCUGGAUAGAGGGAGCGGCUGCCCAGCAAGUGCCAGGAAAACACCUCCUGGUGUUGAUAAGUACCUUUGGAUGAGGGCAUCCUCGUGCUACAGGCGAGAUGUGCAUGCCCGGGGUCUCCCAGACGUGGAGCGACAGCUGCCUUCCUCUGCAGCCGUGGCCACUCUGUCCUCCUCUUUGGAGCAGCUGCGUCAGGAUCUCCAGCGGCUUCCUGAGGAAACCGCAGCAAACACCUACUACAAUCGUGUUGAAGGCUCCCGAGACAGAGGCUGUGCAUCGCGGUAGAGACAAGGCUCCUGAGUUGUGGCUGACUCACUGCCAGGACUUCUUGCCUUAGAGACAUUUAUUUCUCUGCUGACUGCAUCUUUAGAAGUCUUGCCAAGAAUUCUUUGAAAUGCACCAGUGAAGCCAUCCUUGCCAGAAGCAUUCCAAGCUAAGGGAAAAGUGUAUUUUCUCCCUUCCUCAGCCUCAACUUCGAAUUGAUGCAUCAGGGACACACGGAAGCCACCUCCCUUCUUCCUCUUGAGUGCAGGGCUUCUCAAGCUGCGAUGUGCACAAGUCUCGGGACAGACGCAAGCCCCACGUGCAGAGGUCUGGUCCACUAAGGCUCAGUAGGACCCGAGACUUUGCAUCUCUAACAGCUCGUGGCGAGGCUGCUGCCACCAUGGACCACAUGCUGAGAGAUGCACUGUUCUGGGUGAGCUUCAGGACAAGAGCCUGUAUUCAGCCUGGAUUCUAAGUUCAGUUUCCCACGGAUGCCAUGGUGCUUCCUCCUCCUGCACUCUCCCUGCCAGUCACGGUGCCACAUCAGCUGAGCCUGGACCGGUCUUCAGAAUCCUUCCUGACACAAUCCUUUUGGCCGCCACCAGCCACCAAUGAGAGCUGACACGCAGAUAAACCCACUAUCAUCUUUAAGUUGGUGGAGCAGGCACUGUUCUAAAACUCAGAGAACAUGGACUGACUCGUGAUAGGGCCAGGAACUAUGUAUGGGGACUCCAGACGAGGUGCUAACCUCACCGUUCUUCAGGGGCCUUGCCUGUCCAAUGAGAGGGCUGGAUUGGGUUGAUGGGCUGAUUCUAAGAAGCACACUGUGUUUGUUUGUAAGAAGGCUUGCAGAUGGCAGCCUUCUUGCUAUGUCAGCUCUGGAGGCUGGAAGUCUGAGGUCAAGGUGUAGGGCAGGUAUGGUUCCUCCGGAGGCCUCGCUCUGCUGGCAGAUGGCUGCCUUCUCGCUCUGUCCUCACGUGCCACUUAUCUGUGUAUGAGCAUGUCUGGUAUCUCUUUUCAUAAAGGGCACUAAUCCCAUCACGAGAGCCCCAAACUCACGACCUCAUCUAGAUCUAAUUGUCUCCCAAAAGCUGCAUCUCCAAACACCAUCACAUUGGGGUGUAGGGCUUCAGCACAUGAAUCUGGGGGGAUACAAUUCAGUUCACAGCACAAAUGGAUAGUUUGUUUUAAAACACAGCUCUCUGGGUUCUUCCUCUAGAAGGUCUUAUUCAGUCUGUCUGGAGUGGGAUCCAGGAACUGUAUUCUUUGCAGGCACCCCACAUGACUCUCAGCCUCCCAGCUUGAGAAGCUCUGGGUGAGUUCCCCAGUUUCUGGGCAGUGAGCUGUGGGGUCCUUGUGAGUCCCAACAGUUACUUGUUCCUCUCUGAAAAAGUGCCUCGUCCACUUCGCAUAACCACUGACACUCCACAGAGAACCCAGCUUACCAGUAUGUGGAUCUCUAGCCCAGCACCCCUCCUGGAGCAGGGUACACAGUAGGCACACAAUUGAUGUUUAUUGAGGGUCUUGCUCAGGACCCCUUCUAACUUCAAAGGUCUUUGAAAUGUGCAAAUUGUCUUUGAAGAGCCCCGAAGGGGUUAUCUGACAGUGUGUAGGGAAAAGGCAGCAGGCUGACUUUGUGUUUCCCCUCCAGGAGGCUUAAACUAAAGGGACCACAUUUUCAUUUCCCUCUCCAAGCAGCACAAAGUGAGAUAACCUGAUCUGGACAAUGAAUAAACACAGGCCCAGGGAACAGAUUGCCCCUCCAAGACCUCUGGUUGGCUGCUUCUUUCUCUCGUUCCCUGCUGACUACAAGGCCAACAGUGAAAGCAGAGGAAGGGCAGUAAGUGGGGCUUCCUUAGGACAGCGCAGUCCAUGGGAACGUGGGGACACUUGUCUCCAUUCUUCAGUCCAUGAGGUGUAAUGAGGAAGGGAAGGGGAUGUGGAAAGAGUUUCUCUGUUAAAAGUGGGACUGAGAGGAAGGAGAUGUAAUGCAAAGUAGUUGAACUGAUAUACAGCAAAUUAUAAACCAUUCCUGAAAAACCACAAUGAGAUAUUACUACACACCUAGUAGACCAGGUGUGUUCUACUAGUGACAAAAUAAAGAACAAUGACAAUGCCCAAUGCUGGUGGUGAUGCAGAGAAACUGGCUUUCUCUCAGACAUUCUUGGGGGGUGUCAAAUAGUAUAGCCAUGCUGGAAAAUUGUUGAGCAGUUUCUUAUAAAACUAAACAUACCGUGUGGUCUAGUCAUCAUACCCCUGGGCAUUUAUUCCAGAGAAAUUAAAAUUUAUGUCGACACAAAAACAUGUACCGUAAUGUUCAUAUUAGCUUUAUUUGUAAUUACCAAAAAUUGUAAACAACCCAAAUAUCCUUCAAUGGAUCAACAGUUAAAUGUUCUGGAACAUUCAUACCAUGGAAUUCCACCCAGCAAUAAAAAAAGCACUUUUGCUACCUGCAACAACUGAGAUGGAUUGCAAGGGUGUAGUGCUGAGUGGGAAAAAGUUUAAUACUGUAUGAUCACAACAUUUUUGAAAUGACAAAAUCAUAGAGAUGGAGAUGAGAUUAGGGGUUGCCAGAGGUUAGGGAGUAGAAGAAGAGGGAGGGGUGUGGACUGGCUAUAAAGAGGUGGUAUAAAGAAUACUUAUGGUAGCAGAAUUGUUACUAAAAGAGCAUAGACACACACACACAAGUGCAUGUAAAACUGGUGACAUACAUGGGACUUUGGUAUUACUUUUGCAAUCUCCUGUGAACCUAUGCUUGUUGAAAAAAAAUUUCUGAAAAGGAAAAUAAAUAAUUAAAAAUGUGUUUUCUCACAGUGGAAGUUCAUUAUAAUUAUUGGGGAAAGUGAUUUCUUUCUCUUUUGGAGUGGAGCACACCACUUUGGUUUCUUCAACACAAAUGUAUUAUUUGUCACUGUAAAAGGCAAACAUUGUAUAGAAUAGAGAACCCCGAGAAUAAAGUUUUCCAUAUGUGGUCAAAUGAUUUUCAGCAAGGAUGCCAAGACCAUCUAAUGCGGAAAGGAUAGUCUUUUGAAAAAACAGUGCUGGGAAAACUGGACAUCCGCAUAUAAAAGAAUGAAGUUGGAUCCUUACCUUACACCAUAUGCAAAAAUUAGCCAAAAAUGGAUCAAAGACCUAAAUAUAAGAGCUAAAACUAUAAAGCUCUUAGAAGAAAACUUGGGGGAAAACUUCAUGACAUUGUAUCAGCAAUAGUUUUUUGGAUAUGAUGCCAAAGUCAGAGAAUAGAAAAGAAAAACAGAUAAAUUGGAUUUGUUGAAAUUAAAAAGCUUUGUGCAUCAAAGGACACCAUCCGCAGAGUGAAAAGGCAGCCCACAGAAAGGGAUUAAGUAUUUGCAACUCAUAUAUUUGAUCAGGGAUUAAUAUCUAGAACCUGUAAAGAACUCCUACAAGUCAACAACAAAAAACACACAACCCAGUUUUUAAAAAUGGGCAAAGGGCUUGAAUAGACAUUUCUCUAAAGGAGAUAUACAACUGGCCAAAAAGCACAUGGAAAGAUGCCAGCAUCACUUAUCAUUAGGGAAAUGCAAAUGGAAACCUCAAUGAGAUAUCACUUCACACUUAUUAGCGUGGUUACUAAGAAAAAAACCCCCCAAACCAAGUGCUGAUAAGGAUGUGGAGAAAUUGGAAGCUUGUGUGCUACCACAGAGAAUGUAGAGUCAUGUAGUCACUGGGGAAAAUGGGAUGGUGAUUCCUCAAAAAAUUAAAUGUAGAAUUACCACAUGAUCCAGCAGUUCUACUUCUGGGUAUAUAUCCAAAAGAAGUGAGAGCAAGGACUCAAACAGAUAUUUGUACAGCCAUGUUCAUAGUGACAUUAUCAUGACAGCCGAAAGAUGGAAAUGACCCAAGUGUCUGUGGAUGAAUAAAUGGACAAACAAAUGCAGUGUAUGCAAAUAAUGAAAUAUUGUUUAGCCUUAAAAAGGAAUGAAAUUCUGAUAACGUGGUGAACCUUGAAGACAUUAUGCUAAUAAGCUGGACACAAAGGACAAAUAUUGUAUGAUUCCACUUAUAUAGGUACUUAGGGUAG